Molecule: transfer RNA, 73 nt
Filed under: Plicaturopsis crispa FD-325 SS-3
Lineage: Eukaryota; Fungi; Basidiomycota; Agaricomycetes; Amylocorticiales; Amylocorticiaceae
Description: tRNA-Arg (CCG) (tRNA-Arg-CCG-1-1)
Rfam family: tRNA
About the family: Transfer RNA (tRNA) molecules are approximately 80 nucleotides in length.
Source: RNAcentral
GGCGGGCUAGCGUAAUGGUUAACGCGCUAGUUUCCGGAGCUAGAGAUUCUGGGUUCGAGUCCCAGGCUCGUCG